This 303-nucleotide long non-coding RNA is filed under the name Elaeis guineensis (African oil palm). RNAcentral describes it as "long non-coding RNA (EGUI_LNC007144)". Lineage: Eukaryota; Viridiplantae; Streptophyta; Magnoliopsida; Arecales; Arecaceae. The record is from RNAcentral.
GGGAUGGAAUCGUGAUCGAACGGAGGGCUCUCCGCCUUCUGCUUCUCCUUUCCGGGGAAGACAGGGCGAUUGGCCCAAGUGGCCCGUCCGAUCGUCGGAUUCUGAAACUCCGACGAUGCUCUUUCCAGCCGCACUGAUGCCUGCGGCUGUUGCGGCUGCUGCUGCAUGGCCUGUACUGCUUCGGUGAGGCUCCUGACCUGCUGAACCAGCAAGUCGAACUGCUCCAUACCGACUGCUGUUGCUGGAGGAGGAGGAGCCUGAAAAACUAGAGACUAGAUCGGAGUUUGCGGGUCUCGCUGAGAU